GCCAGGUGUGGUGGCACACGCCUGUAAUCCCAGUGACUUGGGAGGCUGAGGCAACUUAGUUUAGCAACUUAGCCAGGCACUUAGCAUCUC
Molecule: small RNA, 90 nt
Filed under: Marmota monax (woodchuck)
Lineage: Eukaryota; Metazoa; Chordata; Mammalia; Rodentia; Sciuridae
Source: RNAcentral